This 304-nucleotide long non-coding RNA is filed under the name Mus musculus (house mouse). RNAcentral describes it as "long non-coding RNA chrX:76356826-76357130". The record is from RNAcentral. Lineage: Eukaryota; Metazoa; Chordata; Mammalia; Rodentia; Muridae.
CCACAAGGGAUGAGGGUCCCAACAGGAUAGGGUAUUAUUGGCUAUGGUCCAUGUCCUUCUGAUAGAGGAGUCCCACCCACACCCUGCCCCCAAUCUUCACCACCUAUAUUGUAUCCUUACUACUUGGGAGAUUCUCUCCACAGGAUUAUUGUGCUCUACCAUAGUUCAGUUUUGGCUAUGGGCCUCAGCCCCCACUCUCUGAUCAGUCUGCCCCUCUAGGCAUUCCUCCUCCACCUGCCACCCCAGAGGCUGCCCAGAUGACUUUCCAACCCCUUCCAUGUUGGGCUACUUCAGACAUGAACGA